UCAAUCUCGAGACUCAUAGGUGUGAAUACUUAUGCAAAUAAGCAGUGCUGAAUGCUGUCUUUGAGAUGAGCGGAAGACAGAGAGUCAAAGGCUAUGUUCCAGAAUGGAGGCUGCGCUACAGUCAUGUUCAAUUAUGAGUUCAUAUACUGUAACACUCUAAACUACCAUAAACUAGUCAGGAAUAGUAUAAAAGGCAUUUUCUCACAUGAAAUGGUAGAUAUAUUAUUAUACUAUCAUUUGGAUAUGAAACAAACAGUAAUGCCUCCCCCCUCCUCCCUUUCCCUCCUCCUCUCUCUCUUUCACCCCUUCCUCCUCCCUCUCUUUCACCCCCCUUUCAUCAUAAUGUGAUUAAAACCCAAAAGUAAUGUGAAAUGCACUCAUAAUUUAUGACAUAAGUUUCAUCUGGGCUUGCUAGCCAGCUAAGCUAACUGCAGACUGGGCGGAGCAAUGCAUUAUAGGAGGUGAACUGCACCUUGGGAAUUGUAGUAUGCUAUAGUUGAGUGCUAUGCAGAAGCUUCAAAAAUGACAAAAAUGUGGAAUUGUGCAGUAUGACUAACAAAAACAAUAAAACAUCCAAAUGUGCAUCAAUUCUUACAGUAGUACAUAAAUUAUAUACAAACACAUAAUAACUGGUUAUAGAGUGGUUUAAUUGUUCUUUAAGCACUGUAAAGGGCUUUAUAAAAAUACAUUUGAUUGAA
This is a long non-coding RNA of Coregonus clupeaformis (lake whitefish), 698 nucleotides long. RefSeq lists it as uncharacterized. The record is from RefSeq and is a predicted model, not a curated record. NCBI's taxonomy places the organism in Eukaryota, Metazoa, Chordata, Actinopteri, Salmoniformes, Salmonidae. The transcript has 2 exons.